Cavia porcellus (domestic guinea pig) is the source of this 3064-nucleotide long non-coding RNA. RefSeq lists it as uncharacterized. The transcript has 3 exons. Lineage: Eukaryota; Metazoa; Chordata; Mammalia; Rodentia; Caviidae. The record is from RefSeq and is a predicted model, not a curated record.
CAACUAACCAAUAAGUUACAGAUUUCCUUCUUUCUUUCUUUAUUUUUCUUUUUUUUUUACAGGGGAUCAAACUUACAGCCUCACACUUUCCAGGCAGGCACUUGUUGCUGCUGAGCUAAACAGAUUUCUUUAUUCCUUCUCCAGUCCUACUGUUUCAUUUGACCAAUCUUUAAAAAAAAAAAAACAUGAAGCCGGGUAUAAUGGCACAUACCUGUAAUCCCAGCACUCAAAAGGCUUAGACAGGUGGAUUGCUUUGAGUUUGAGGCCAGUCUGGGUUACAUAGUGAGUUCAAGGCAAGUCUGAACUACACAGAAAGACCCUAUCUCAAAAAAGAGAGAAAAGAAAGAAAGAGAGAAAAAGAAGGAAAGAAAGAAAGAAAGAAGGAAGGAAAGAAAGAAAGAAAGAAAGAAAGAAAGAAAGAAAGAAAGAAAGAAAGAAAGAAAAAACAGGUACACAUCAGGUAGUAAUAAUAGAUGUAAGCUGGUAUGGUGGCAUGGGCCUAUAGAGUCAGCUACUUUGGAGGCUGAGACAGGAGAGUCAUGAGUUUGAGGGCAGCCUGGGCACCUUAGAGAGACUCUGUCUCAAAAAACAAACAAACACACAAACAUUACCUUAUCAUUGCUAUACAUGGAAAUCCAGUUUCAAUUGCCAUGAACAGACAAUAACUCUAAAAUAUGAUUAAAUGAUGAAGUAGAAAAGAUAUUGUCCUCAGCUGGGCAUGGUGUCUCACGCCUGUAAUCCCAGCACUCGGGAGGCUGAGGUGGGAGGAUCAUUGUGAGUUCGAGACCAGUCUGGGCUAUAAAGUGAGCUCAAGGCCAGCCUGAACUGCAUAGCGAGACCCCAUCUCAAAAAGGACAAAAAAAAAAUUGUCCUCAUCUUGAAUAUGUAUCUCACACCUGGAAAACACUUGCAUAGAAGGAGAUUAUUUGUAUGUGUGCAUGUUCACCUAUGUGUGUGGUACUGGGCAUUAAAGCCCAGGAUGUAAUUUCAUUUGUUUUGUUUUGUUUUGGAGCUUAAACCCAAGGACACUCUACCACUAAGCUAAUGUCCCUGAAGACUUAAGCAAUCCUGGCCCUAAAUAUAUGUCGGAUAAAUGAGAGGCUGAAUGUGAGAAAGGAUGGUUACUUUGUUUCUUUUUUUCCAAUUUAUGGUACUAGAAAUUGAAUUUUUUUUUUUUUUUUUUUUUUUUUUUUUUUGUACCAGGAAUCAAACUCAGGACUAGGCAGGUGCUGUGCAGUUGAGCUACAUCCCCGGCCCCUGGUAAUUGAAUUUAAGACCUUUGCAUUGAGCUACAUCCCCAGUCCUUUUCGUUUGUGUGUUUGUUUUUGUUUUUUAAAUAGAGUCUUAUGCAGUUCAGGCUGUACUUGAACUUACUAUGUAGUACAGGACAGCCUCAAAUUCACUGGGAUCCUCCUGUCUCAGCUUCCUGAGUGCUGGGAUUACAGGUGUGCACCAUCAUGCCAGCCCCAGCCCCAAGUUAAUAUCACUUCCUCAGCGCUGAAUACUCUAAGUUGCCCCUGAAUCAGUCUUUGACUCUUCUGAUCUCCUACAGAAAUGAAUUCCUUUCUAGUUUAGCCAUCAGACUCCCAAGGCUCCCAGAAAGCCCUACAGAGUUGCUGUUCACAAGCAGGCUGCUUGUAGGGCAUGCAGCUUUCACUCCCCUAAACAGACUGAAAAGGCACUUGCCUGCCGCACCUCCAUUCCCAGCCUUGUAAAGCAGUCACUUUUCAAGCUUUCUGGAGUUUUCACUCCUUUCUAAGACCGUGAGUUCUUGGCCAACCUAGCAGCUCCAGUCCUCCCAAUCUGAAAGGAAGUAUGAAGUGACCCUGUGGCUCCAGAGUUAAUGUAGGGAUCCUGCCCAGAGGACGGGCUUCAUGGGAGAGAGUGCAGGGCCUACUUCUAAAGCCAGAAAGAAGACGCUUCCUCCAUAAGGAGAAAGCUGGCGCUAGCUUGGGGCCAGCAGGAGAGCUGAGCUUUGGGGCCAAGGACUGUUCUGAAGUGUGGGAAGAAGUGGAGAGCAGGACCAGACAGACUGAGACAGCUCUGUGAAGAACCUGCCCUCUGAUGAUAACCAAGCCUUGCCUGAGUAGCCUGGCACUCUGCUGUCCAUGGUGGCAGCUGAUAAAGUCAGGCACCUCCAGAGAGUUUCCAUAGAACCUUCUGCUCCUGGUCAGUGGACAGAUCAACCCCAGAGCCAAGGAGAAACGAGCAAACUUUGAAACCUGACUUCCUUGGGUGUACAUCCCAGCUCUCCCUCCUAAGUGAUGUGACCUUAGCCAGGUGCUGUGCUGCUGAGCUGUAUCCGUGGCCCACAUCUUGUUUUAAAUAGAAUUUUCCAGAAGGCCUCUCUGAAAAGGUGCUGUUUGAGCCAAGGCCUCAUGACCUGGGUCCUGGAGAAGCUAAAAAGAGAGAGAAGCUAAUUAGAGGCGACUGUACCUGUCCAGGUUGGAUUGGACCGGGAUGGUAGUAACUGAAAUGAAACAAGAGAUGAAAGAUUGUGAAGGUGAAGUGGGCAGACUUGCUGGUGAAUUGCUGCAGAAUACCAGAAAAUUUUGAGACAGGUUAUGUACACUGGCCUCAAACUCAUGAUCCUCCUGCCUCAUCUUCCUAAGAAGCUGGGAUAACAGACAUGCACCACCAUACCUGGUUUGUUUAUUUUUCCCUUCCUUUCAUUGCUUCCUGAGACUGAAUCCUGGGCUUGGCUCAUACUAAGUACUGGCUUUGCCACUACUUUGCCCAGCCCCAUACUAACUGAUUUGUUAUCUGCUUUCUAAAGUUCUUCAUAAGCUUUCUACACUAUAAUUACUAACAACCCCCCCCCCCCAGGAUGGAGUCUGUGUUGCCUAAGCUGACUUGGAGCUUGUGAGAUCAAGCAGUUCUCCUGUGUCAGCUUCCCGCGUAGCUGAGACUGCAGACAUAUGCCAAGUCGUGCUUGCCAGGCAGGCACUGUGCUGCUAAGCUAUAUCCUCAGCCCUAGGUACUUCAUUCUUUUAAUGAAUUUACAUGUGUUCUCACCACCCUUUGUACCUGCCCACCCACAUUCAUAUGCACCCUCUCCUCUAGG